CGCUCGGGGCGGCAGUGACGUCAGGCGCGCCGCUGCUCCUCACUCCGUGGCAGGUGCGGCGCGUCUUGUGCGGUCUCUCCUGGUGCGGUCUGCUCCCUACACAACUAGUGCCCAGCCUGUUGGUGGAGAGGUACACUCUGCAGUUCCCUGAUGAACCAAGGGAACCCUCCACCGUAUCCGGGCCCCGGUCCGACGGCCCCAUACCCACCUUAUCCACAACCACCAAUGGGGCCUGAGGCCUACCCUCCAGGACCUAUGGGAGGACCCUAUCCACCUCCCCAGGGGUACCCUUACCAAGGAUACCCACAGUAUGGCUGGCAAGGAGGACCUCAGGAGCCUCCUAAAACCACAGUGUAUGUCGUGGAAGACCAAAGAAGGGAUGACUUGGGCCCAAGCACCUGCCUCACAGCCUGCUGGACUGCCCUCUGUUGCUGUUGCCUCUGGGACAUGCUCACCUGA
Long non-coding RNA from Hipposideros armiger (great roundleaf bat), 459 nucleotides. RefSeq lists it as uncharacterized. The record is from RefSeq and is a predicted model, not a curated record. The transcript is spliced from 3 exons. Lineage: Eukaryota; Metazoa; Chordata; Mammalia; Chiroptera; Hipposideridae.